UCCCGGGUCGUCUAAGGGCAGGACAGCGUCUUUUGGUGUCGCUUAUGGGGGUUCGAGUCCUCCCCCGGGAGCCC
RNAcentral lists this transfer RNA (74 nucleotides) under Streptomyces sp. Act143. RNAcentral describes it as "tRNA-Gln". It matches the Rfam family "tRNA". Rfam says of the family: Transfer RNA (tRNA) molecules are approximately 80 nucleotides in length. Their secondary structure includes four short double-helical elements and three loops (D, anti-codon, and T loops). Further hydrogen bonds mediate the characteristic L-shaped molecular structure. tRNAs have two regions of fundamental functional importance: the anti-codon, which is responsible for specific mRNA codon recognition, and the 3' end, to which the tRNAs corresponding amino acid is attached (by aminoacyl-tRNA synthetases). tRNAs cope with the degeneracy of the genetic code in two manners: having more than one tRNA (with a specific anti-codon) for a particular amino acid; and 'wobble' base-pairing, i.e. permitting non-standard base-pairing at the 3rd anti-codon position. The record is from RNAcentral. Lineage: Bacteria; Bacillati; Actinomycetota; Actinomycetes; Kitasatosporales; Streptomycetaceae.